CCUACGGGCGGCAGCAGUGAGGAAUAUUGGUCAAUGGUCGAAAGUCUGAACCAGCCAAGUAGCGUGAAGGAUGACUGCCCUAUGGGUUGUAAACUUCUUUUAUAUGGGAAUAAAAUGUUCCACGUGUGGGAUUUUGUAUGUACCAUAUGAAUAAGGAUCAGCUAACUCCGUGCCAGCAGCCGCGGUAAUACGGAGGAUCCGAGCGUUAUCCGGAUUUAUUGGGUUUAAAGGGAGCGUAGGUGGAUUGUUAAGUCAGUUGUGAAAUUUUGCGGCUCAACCGUAAAAUUGCAGUUGAAACUGGCAGUCUUGAGUACAGUAGAGGUGGGCGGAAUUCGUGGUGUAGCGGUGAAAUGCUUAGAUAUCACGAAGAACUCCGAUUGCGAAGGCAGCUCACUGGACUGCAACUGACACUGAGGCUUGAAAGUGUGGGUAUCAAACAGGAUUAGAUACCCCUGUAGUC
RNAcentral lists this ribosomal RNA (460 nucleotides) under uncultured bacterium. RNAcentral describes it as "partial 16S ribosomal RNA". It matches the Rfam family "Bacterial small subunit ribosomal RNA", at positions 338 to 795 of the family's 1533-position model. The record is from RNAcentral.